Molecule: ribosomal RNA, 446 nt
Filed under: uncultured bacterium
Lineage: Bacteria
Description: partial 16S ribosomal RNA
Rfam family: Bacterial small subunit ribosomal RNA
Source: RNAcentral
GUAGGGAAUAUUGGACAAUGGGCGGAAGCCUGAUCCAGCCAUGCCGCGUGGAGGAUGACUGCCCUCUGGGUUGUAAACUCCUUUUGUACAGGAAGAAACCUCCUCAUUAAUGAGUGAGCUGACGGUACUGUAAGAAUAAGCACCGGCUAACUCCGUGCCAGCAGCCGCGGUAAUACGGAGGGUGCAAGCGUUAUCCGGAUUCACUGGGUUUAAAGGGUGCGUAGGCGGUUUUAUAAGUCAGUGGUGAAAUCAACGGGCUCAACCUGUUAACUGCCAUUGAUACUGUAGGACUUGAAUAUGAGAGAGGUAGGCGGAAUGUUGCAUGUAGCGGUGAAAUGCUUAGAUAUGCUACGGAACACCGAUUGCGAAGGCAGCUCACUAAGUCUGAAUUGACGCUCAUGGACGAAAGCGCGGGUAGCAAACAGGAUUAGAAACCCGGGUAGUCC